CAUCAUUACUGUGUAAUCAACGUAACUGUGUAAUCAUUGACAUCAUGUGUAAGACAGUGACAACCAUGCAAUCGUCUGCCCCUUCAUAGACGGUCGUAUUGUCGUAAGAGGAAGAAAGUCGUGGGAUAAAACAUAGCUUAUACAAAGAUCGACUGCGAUCUUCUCUCUUUCUAUCCGUCGGAGCUCGUUACAGGCGAAACCUUUUAAGGAGACCGAUUUUAUUAUGGCGAAGCUUGCCUAACCUUGCACCAUUGAAAAUAUUAAUUCC
This 268-nucleotide unclassified non-coding RNA is filed under the name Bombus terrestris (buff-tailed bumblebee). RNAcentral's name for it is "misc RNA ENSBTSG00005034391.1". The record is from RNAcentral. Lineage: Eukaryota; Metazoa; Arthropoda; Insecta; Hymenoptera; Apidae.